UGCCCUAAAGACAGUUAUUAUUGCCAUGAC
Molecule: non-coding RNA, 30 nt
Filed under: Mus musculus (house mouse)
Lineage: Eukaryota; Metazoa; Chordata; Mammalia; Rodentia; Muridae
Source: RNAcentral